GUCCACGCCGUAAACGAUGAUUACUCGUUUUGGGUUUAAUUACUCAGAGGCUAAGCGAAAGUGAUAAGUAAUCCACCUGGGGAGUACGUCCGCAAGGAUGAAACUCAAAGGAAUUGACGGGGCCCGCACAAGCGGAGGAUCAUGUGGUUUAAUUCGAUGAUACGCGAGGAACCUUACCAGGGCUUAAAUGGGAAUUGACCGUUUUGGAAACAGAACUUUUCGCAAGACAAUUUUCAAGGUGCUGCAUGGUUGUCGU
This 256-nucleotide ribosomal RNA is filed under the name uncultured bacterium. RNAcentral's name for it is "partial 16S ribosomal RNA". It matches the Rfam family "Bacterial small subunit ribosomal RNA", at positions 793 to 1055 of the family's 1533-position model. The record is from RNAcentral.